This 391-nucleotide ribosomal RNA is filed under the name uncultured bacterium. Its description in RNAcentral is "bacterial SSU rRNA". It matches the Rfam family "Bacterial small subunit ribosomal RNA", at positions 97 to 486 of the family's 1533-position model. The record is from RNAcentral.
GGCGGACGGGUGAGUAAUGCAUAGGAAUCUGCCUAUUAGUGGGGGCAACGUGGGGAAACUCACGCUAAUACCGCAUACGAUCUACGGAUGAAAGCCGGGGACCUUCGGGCCUGGCGCUAAUAGAUGAGCCUAUGUCGGAUUAGCUAGUUGGUGGGGUAAAGGCCUACCAAGGCGACGAUCCGUAGCUGGUCUGAGAGGAUGAUCAGCCACACUGGGACUGAGACCCGGCCCAGACUCCUACGGGAGGCAGCAGUGGGGAAUAUUGGACAAUGGGCGAAAGCCUGAUCCAGCAAUACCGCGUGUGUGAAGAAGGCCUGAGGGUUGUAAAGCACUUUCAAUGGGAAGGAACACCUAUCGGUUAAUACCCGGUAGACUGACAUUAGCCAUCCAA